Long non-coding RNA from Rhipicephalus microplus (southern cattle tick), 204 nucleotides. NCBI's taxonomy places the organism in Eukaryota, Metazoa, Arthropoda, Arachnida, Ixodida, Ixodidae. The record is from RefSeq and is a predicted model, not a curated record.
UUCUUCAAGGAGGCACCAGGUGAAUUCAAGAGACAAAGCAACUCUGAAAUUAGCAACUGUCAGCUCUCAGCGAUGCCGCCACCGAUUUGUCCCCAUGGGACACGCGCCACCACCAGGAGAUGACGUCACUACUCUCUCAAGACUAACACGCCAAUCAUGACAAGGCGCCUUUCACAAAGGUAGGUCCUCCUAUCAAAACGUCAA